CCUACGGGAGGCUGCCGUGGGGGAUAUUGCACAAUGGGGGAAACCCUGAUGCAGCGACGCCGCGUGUGGGAAGACGGUCCUCUGGAUUGUAAACCACUGUCCCCAGGGACGAAGAUGACGGUACCUGGGGAGGAAGCUCCGGCUAACUACGUGCCAGCAGCCGCGGUAAUACGUAGGGAGCGAGGGUUGUCCGGAAUUACUGGGGGUAAAGGGAGCGUAGGCGGGGAUGCAAGUUGGGUGUCAAAACUACCGGCUCAACUGGUAGUCGCACUCAAAACUGCAGCUCUUGAGUGGUGUAGAGGCAGGCGGAAUGCCUAGUGUAGCGGUGAAAUGCGUAGAUAUUAGGCGGAACACCAGUGGCGAAGGCAGCAUGCUGGGGUUUUACUGACGCUGAGGCUCGAAAGUGUGGGGAGCGAACAGGAUUAGAUACCCUUGUAGUC
Molecule: ribosomal RNA, 440 nt
Filed under: uncultured bacterium
Lineage: Bacteria
Description: partial 16S ribosomal RNA
Rfam family: Bacterial small subunit ribosomal RNA
Source: RNAcentral